Molecule: ribosomal RNA, 474 nt
Filed under: uncultured bacterium
Lineage: Bacteria
Description: bacterial SSU rRNA
Rfam family: Bacterial small subunit ribosomal RNA
Source: RNAcentral
AGGGUUUGAUCAUGGCUCAGGAUGAACGCUGGCGGCGUGCCUUAAGCAUGCAAGUCGAACGGUCGCAAGACAGUGGCGGACGGGUGAGUAUAAGCAAGGAACGUACCCUUUACUGUGGCAUAGCUCGUCGAAAGACGGGGUAAUAUCGCAUGAGGCCUCACGGCCAAAGCGCUUAACCGCGCGGUAAAGGAGCGGCCUUGUUCCUAUCAGCUUGUUGGUGGGGUAAUGGCCUACCAAGGCUCUGACGGGUAGGGGGUGUGAGAGCACGACCCCCCACAAUGGCACUGAGAAACGGGCCAUACAUCUACGGAUGGCAGCAACUGGGAAUCGUUGGCAAUGGGCGAAAGCCUGACCACGCGACGCCGCGUGAGUGAUGAAGGCCUUAGGGUCGUAAAGCUCUUUCGCCUGUGAAGAUAAUGACGGUAGCAGGUAAAGAAACCCCGGCUAACUCCGUGCCAGCCGCCGCGGUAAUAC